Leptidea sinapis is the source of this 333-nucleotide long non-coding RNA. RefSeq lists it as uncharacterized. NCBI's taxonomy places the organism in Eukaryota, Metazoa, Arthropoda, Insecta, Lepidoptera, Pieridae. The transcript is spliced from 3 exons. The record is from RefSeq and is a predicted model, not a curated record.
UUAAUUUUCUAAUAUUUCGACAUAUUUGUGCCAUCUAAAAUUACUUAAAAAGGGACAUUUAAGGAUAGAAGAAUGGAUGAUAAUUGUUCUAAAUUAACAUUAUUAAAUGCUCCUACAACAUCCAAAAAAACACCAGCCAAUAUUUUAUUGUCAAUCUGGGCACUAUGGAUGUCAAGACAUAAAUGCCGUAGACUCUCACAAGCAGAACGACCGCAUCGAAAUCCAAAUUGAUUAUUAGAUUACUGUGUGGAGGAAUGUUGGAUGGAAUUGAAGAAGAUUCAGUUUCCGACACUACCAUGGAAAAUUUUGUGAUUGUAGGCAAGUGAUAGCUGC